Molecule: transfer RNA, 76 nt
Filed under: Clostridia bacterium
Lineage: Bacteria; Bacillati; Bacillota; Clostridia
Description: tRNA-Arg
Rfam family: tRNA
About the family: Transfer RNA (tRNA) molecules are approximately 80 nucleotides in length. Their secondary structure includes four short double-helical elements and three loops (D, anti-codon, and T loops). Further hydrogen bonds mediate the characteristic L-shaped molecular structure. tRNAs have two regions of fundamental functional importance: the anti-codon, which is responsible for specific mRNA codon recognition, and the 3' end, to which the tRNAs corresponding amino acid is attached (by aminoacyl-tRNA synthetases). tRNAs cope with the degeneracy of the genetic code in two manners: having more than one tRNA (with a specific anti-codon) for a particular amino acid; and 'wobble' base-pairing, i.e. permitting non-standard base-pairing at the 3rd anti-codon position.
Source: RNAcentral
GCACCCGUAGUCUAAUUGGAUAAAACAGUGCCCUCCGACGGCACCAUUGUAGGUUCAAAUCCUAUCGGGUGUACCA